GAUGAACGCUAGCGGCAGGCUUAACACAUGCAAGUCGAGGGGUAACAGGGAAAAAGCUUGCUUUUUUGCUGACGACCGGCGCACGGGUGCGUAACGCGUAUAGAACCUACCUUUUACAGAGGGAUAGCCUUUAGAAAUGAAGAUUAAUACCUCAUAGCACUAAAUUUUGGCAUCAUUAUUUAGUUAAAGAUUUAUCGAUAAAAGAUGGCUAUGCGUCCUAUUAGUUAGAUGGUGAGGUAACGGCUCACCAUGGCAAUGAUAGGUAGGGGUCCUGAGAGGGAGAUCCCCCACACUGGUACUGAGACACGGACCAGACUCCUACGGGAGGCAGCAGUGAGGAAUAUUGGGCAAUGGAGGCAACUCUGACCCAGCCAUGCCGCGUGCAGGAAGACUGCCCUAUGGGUUGUAAACUGCUUUUAUACAGGAAGAAACACUGCUACGUGUAGCAGCUUGACGGUACUGUAAGAAUAAGCACCGGCUAACUCCGUGCCAGCAGCCGCGGUAAUACGGAGGGUGCAAGCGUUAUCCGGAAUCAUUGGGUUUAAAGGGUCCGCAGGCGGUCAAUUAAGUCAGAGGUGAAAUCCCAU
Molecule: ribosomal RNA, 587 nt
Filed under: uncultured Bacteroidota bacterium
Lineage: Bacteria; Pseudomonadati; Bacteroidota
Description: bacterial SSU rRNA
Rfam family: Bacterial small subunit ribosomal RNA
Source: RNAcentral